RNAcentral lists this ribosomal RNA (280 nucleotides) under uncultured archaeon. RNAcentral's name for it is "partial 16S ribosomal RNA". It matches the Rfam family "Archaeal small subunit ribosomal RNA", at positions 559 to 838 of the family's 1478-position model. The record is from RNAcentral.
UUAACGUGCGGGCGUCCAGCGGAAACUGUCCGGCUUGGGACCGGAAGACCCGAGGGGUACGUCCAGGGUAGGAGUGAAAUCCUGUAAUCUUGGACGGGCCACCUGUGGCGAAAGCGCCUCGGGAAGACGGAUCCGACAGUGAGGAACGAAAGCCAGGGUCUCGAACCGGAUUAGAUACCCGGGUAGUCCUGGCUGUAAACGAUGUCCGCUAGGUGUGACGCAGGCUACGAGCUUGCGUUGUGCCGUAGGGAAGCCGUGAAGCGGACCGCCUGGGAAGUAC